AGAAUUGAGGGGUGGUGGAGCGGGGUUAGAAGGAGGGGGGGAGUGGUGGUCGGGUUUAUAGGGGGUAAGUGGCUGGUAGGCGGCUUGUUGCUCCGGCUGUGAAGGCCCACGGCUUGACUGUGGGUUGGCAGCUGAUACGGGCAGGCUGGAGUUCGGUAGGGGAGACUGGAAUUCCUAGGGUAGCGGUGAAAUGCGCAGAUAUCAGGAGGAACACCGGUGGCGAAGGCGGGUCUCUGGGCCGAUACUGACGCUGAGGAGCGAAAGCGUGGGGAGCGAACAGGAUUAGAUACCCCAGUAGUC
Molecule: ribosomal RNA, 300 nt
Filed under: uncultured Planomicrobium sp.
Lineage: Bacteria; Bacillati; Bacillota; Bacilli; Caryophanales; Caryophanaceae
Description: bacterial SSU rRNA
Rfam family: Bacterial small subunit ribosomal RNA (bases 55-300)
Source: RNAcentral